This 20-nucleotide microRNA is filed under the name Ciona intestinalis (vase tunicate). RNAcentral describes it as "cin-miR-4033-5p". The record is from miRBase by way of RNAcentral. Lineage: Eukaryota; Metazoa; Chordata; Ascidiacea; Phlebobranchia; Cionidae.
GGAGCACAAUAUGUAGUUUA